AUCGCAGAAACUAGCACUACUUCUCUGAAAAACCCUCUGCUUCAUUUCAUUUCGUGAGUUUAUUUCGACGAUCUGAAAACGAAAUGGCGGCGACGCUCCGGCUCAGGCUCCUCGCCGCGGCGGCGGCCGCCGCCGUCAUGGCGUCGUCCAUGGUCGGGAUAGCCUCCGCCGCCGAAGCGCCGGCGCCGGCGCCGACGUCCGGAGCAACCGCCGCCCCGGCCUUCGCCGUCGCGUCGCUCGCCGUGGCUGCCGUUGGAUACCUGUUCUGCUAAACCCGCAUCUCCGAUCGUCGCUUGGCCGAUCGCCAUGAGUGAUGCUGGUGCAUUGAUUAGCUCAAUUGUGUCAUUGAUUUGUUGAGUUGGUUUCUGUGUGGUGGUUGGAAUUUGGAUUUUGGGGGUGUAUGUACAUGGAUACAUCGAUAAAUUCAAAAUAUUUUUUUGUGACAGUAUAAU
This 452-nucleotide small RNA is filed under the name Oryza sativa Japonica Group (Japanese rice). RNAcentral's name for it is "sRNA Os05g0503650". Lineage: Eukaryota; Viridiplantae; Streptophyta; Magnoliopsida; Poales; Poaceae. The record is from RNAcentral.